Small nuclear RNA from Trichechus manatus latirostris (Florida manatee), 107 nucleotides. The record is from RefSeq and is a predicted model, not a curated record. Lineage: Eukaryota; Metazoa; Chordata; Mammalia; Sirenia; Trichechidae.
GUGCUUGCUUCAGCAGCACAUAUACUAAAAUUGGAACGAUAUAGAGAAAUUUAACAUGGCCGCUAUGCAAUGACGACACACAAAUUCGUGAAGCAUUUCAUAUUUGU